AUUUUGGGGUUCCCAGGAUUGGCUCUCUACACUAAUUAGAUUUUAAAAUGCUAAUGACUCUCUUUCCAGUAGUGAAAAAAAAAAGGCACUGACAGUCUAUGGCAUGAUCUGGUUAUAGAGAUAUGCAAAAUAUCUGCCUUGGAUACUCCUAUUCAACCACUCAUAAGAAGUAAGGAACUGGGUACUCUGUUAACCUUCUCAGAUGGAGGCACAAGACUUAUUUUGUGAUUGGCUGAAUUACAACACAAGCUGAAGUCUCAGCUUCACAGAGUGUCUACUAUUGUAGUGAGGAUAGUCAUUGGGAAUAAAUAGGAUCCUGUAAGUUGAGAUGGGGACAUAAAAGGCUUAGAGAAAUUGGAAUGUCAGAGUGGAUUUGUCAUUUAAGACCUAGCUUUUACUAAAUUUAUUUUGAGAAAUAAAUGUGUGAGGGGAUCCCUAGCAUCCUUGGAGACAUCCAUGAUGGUUCUUCUCUGUAGGCCAGACCCUAGAGUGUGAACUGCAGUCACUCAAUUGGAAAACCUAAAUGCAAAGGAAGUAAUUGAAUCCCGUGUCAGUACUCAACAGCCAGAGG
This 571-nucleotide long non-coding RNA is filed under the name Homo sapiens (human). Its description in RNAcentral is "non-protein coding lnc-MME-5:1". Lineage: Eukaryota; Metazoa; Chordata; Mammalia; Primates; Hominidae. The record is from RNAcentral.